AGGGUGGAGCUUAGCAACUUUCACUCACUGAAUAGGGCUGUCGAGUCAACUCGACAGUGGACUAAAGGACGGCUAAAAUGUGGUUAUGUGUUUGAAAAGGAUAUCGUGACCCUCGUGUGAGGGUUUAAAGUUCGAUAUUUUCAUCAGUUGAGACUCUCCGAUUAAACGACCGGGAACAUGAUGCGCUUCCUGCUCCUCUUCAGUCGCCAGGGCAAGUUGCGCUUGCAGAAAUGGUACACGCCCAUAUCUGAUCGAGAGAAGAAGAAGAUCAUCAGGGACAUGACCACAGCCGUGUUGGCACGGCAACCGCGUACCUGUAACUUCCUGCACUGGAAAGACCUGAAGAUUAUUUACAAAAGAUAUGCAAGUUUGUAUUUCUGCUUGGCAAUUGAGAGUCAGGAGAAUGAGCUGCUUGCUUUGGAAAUUAUUCAUCGCUACGUGGAGCUGCUGGACAGAUACUUUGGAAAUGUGUGUGAGCUCGACAUAAUCUUCAAUUUUGAGAAGGCCUAUUUUAUCUUGGAUGAGUUUCUGAUGGGAGGGGAAAUCCAAGAAACCUCCAAACAGAUUGUGAACCGCUGCAUUGAAGCCUCAGACAUGUUACAGGAGUGUCGUUUGUGAGCGAGAGCCAGAUUUUGCGUGGAAGAGGGUUGGCUGCGUAAGUUUAGCAACACUUCCCGCUCUUUUUAGGUCUGCGGCUCUGUGGUCAAGGCGUUUCUCUGGGAUGGCAGCAAUGAUUGGUAUGAGGUGGAGCUGUUUGGACCUUGAAUAUGGACAGACAGACAAUGGAGGAAUAUAUGAGCAAACCAGCAUUUUGACACAGGAAAAGGGACAAAGUAAGCUCAGGGCCUAAAUAUACAAAUAUGAAGACUACACCGAAACUUACUUCAUUCACAAGUAAAUAUUAAAUGAUUUGAUCUUGCACUUGUUUGAAAGUGACGGGUUUUACAGGUUUGCUGAACACCAUUAAUAUUGGAAUUUAAUCUUGUGGUAAUAUAUGAUGUAAUGUUUUUAAAAAAAUACAAUGUCAAACAACAUAAAGCACAUUCCUGAUUAAAUUGCUGAUGUACUUUUUAAUCUGUUUAAUCUCUAAUUGUGUCAUCUUUAUUUGGAUAGUUGUUGUUUGUGUGGCUUUCUAGCUUAUAAUUAAAUGU
Corythoichthys intestinalis (scribbled pipefish) is the source of this 1151-nucleotide RNA transcript. It is a transcript of the gene named AP-1 complex subunit sigma-3-like, with no coding region annotated. The transcript has 7 exons. The record is from RefSeq and is a predicted model, not a curated record. NCBI's taxonomy places the organism in Eukaryota, Metazoa, Chordata, Actinopteri, Syngnathiformes, Syngnathidae.